AAAAACAACAACGGCGGCGGCUAUAAAACAGAAUUAUAGGAUUAUAGCGUCAACCAUAACCAACGAUAUAAUAUAAAAGAGAAAAAUUAAAAAACCAUUAGCGUCGGUUAUUUGCAAUGCUAUAAUACACAAAUAUUGGUAUGUAGCGUUUUAUAUGGACGACGCUCAGACUCGACGCUAAUACAUUGAAGAGAAUUUUUG
RNAcentral lists this long non-coding RNA (201 nucleotides) under Lathyrus oleraceus (garden pea). RNAcentral describes it as "Pisum sativum (pea) long non-coding RNA (PSAT_LNC021853)". The record is from RNAcentral. Lineage: Eukaryota; Viridiplantae; Streptophyta; Magnoliopsida; Fabales; Fabaceae.